AGCGCUCAAGAGGACCUUCCAGAGGAUCUCACGGGAGACGCCUAAACCAUCAUUUGAACUCGCUACUUGAAUCACUGUUGGAUUGAAAGAUUUUGGUAAAGCCGACUAGAUUAUACUUUUGAUUGGAAUCGGGGCUGUAAAUGUGUAGUCGACUUUUAAUGGUUGCAUUUUGGAACUUGAUGUAUCUUUUGUGGACAUGAUGUAAGAUUUAAAUAUUUAGUUAAGGAAGCGACUUUUCUUUAUUUUGACUCGUAG
Non-coding RNA from Coffea arabica (coffee), 255 nucleotides. The record is from RefSeq and is a predicted model, not a curated record. NCBI's taxonomy places the organism in Eukaryota, Viridiplantae, Streptophyta, Magnoliopsida, Gentianales, Rubiaceae.